Molecule: unclassified non-coding RNA, 393 nt
Filed under: uncultured fungus
Lineage: Eukaryota; Fungi
Also listed under: 1 other name
Description: partial contains 5.8S ribosomal RNA, internal transcribed spacer 2, and large subunit ribosomal RNA
Source: RNAcentral
AACGCACAUUGCGCUCUUGGGUAUUCCUGAGAGCAUGCCUGUUUCAGAAUCGGAAAUCCCACUCUGCUCCCAAAUCUUUUUUUUGGAUGAGCGGGAGAUUGAGUCCUUCCAAAAGAAUCUUUUGGUUUUUUUGGAUGACUUGAAAUGGAGAUGGAGAGGACUGGGACAUUGUUUUCCCUCCUUGUUUCACAUCCAACGAAAAUGCGCGAUAAGAAGUUUACACUUCGAUACUCCGCUAUUUUUAGGAUGAGGAGCAUGGGACUACAUUUCUCGUUCUUUUUUCCAUGCAAAAAUCCGAACACCUUCUCACUUUUGUGAGGAGCCCCAAGGGAGAGAGAUAUUCUUUCUCCUUGAAUUGAUCUGAAAUCAGGCAAGACUACCCGCUGAACUUAA